Molecule: non-coding RNA, 31 nt
Filed under: Mus musculus (house mouse)
Lineage: Eukaryota; Metazoa; Chordata; Mammalia; Rodentia; Muridae
Source: RNAcentral
UGCAAUUCACGCUUUCCUGCGGUGUUGGUGU